GACGAACGCUGGCGGCGUGCUUAACACAUGCAAGUCGAACGGAAAGGCCCUGCUUUUGUGGGGUGCUCGAGUGGCGAACGGGUGAGUAACACGUGAGUAACCUGCCCUUGACUUUGGGAUAACUUCAGGAAACUGGGGCUAAUACCGGAUAGGAGCUCCUGCUGCAUGGUGGGGGUUGGAAAGUUUCGGCGGUUGGGGAUGGACUCGCGGCUUAUCAGCUUGUUGGUGGGGUAGUGGCUUACCAAGGCUUUGACGGGUAGCCGGCCUGAGAGGGUGACCGGCCACAGUGGGGCUGAGAUGCGGCCCAGACUCCUACGGGAGGCAGCAGUGGGGAAGAUUGCACAAUGGGCGGAAGCCUGAUGCAGCAACGCCGCGUGCGGGAUGACGGCCUUCGGGUUGUAAGCCGCUUUCGCCUGUGACGAAGCGUGAGUGACGGUAAUGUGUAAAGAAGCACCGGCUAACUACGUG
RNAcentral lists this ribosomal RNA (468 nucleotides) under uncultured bacterium. RNAcentral describes it as "partial 16S ribosomal RNA". It matches the Rfam family "Bacterial small subunit ribosomal RNA", at positions 28 to 507 of the family's 1533-position model. The record is from RNAcentral.